Potamilus streckersoni is the source of this 76-nucleotide non-coding RNA. Lineage: Eukaryota; Metazoa; Mollusca; Bivalvia; Unionida; Unionidae. The record is from the annotation of a GenBank genome assembly.
GACCACUUUGGUGGCCUUGUGGUAGAGCAUCCACCUCCGAUGUGGGAGGUCACAGGUUCAAACCCUGGCCAAGUCA